UACAGAGGUCCCGAGCGUUGUUCGGAUUCACUGGGCGUAAAGGGUGCGUAGGUGGCAUGGUACGUUUGAUGUGAAAGCUCAGGGCUUAACCCUGAAAUGGCAUUGAAUACUACUGUGCUGGAGGUUUGGAGGGGGGACUGGAAUUCUUGGUGUAGCAGUGAAAUGCGUAGAUAUCAAGAGGAACACCAGUGGCGAAGGCGAGUCCCUGGACAACACCUGACACUGAGGCACGAAAGCUUGGGGAGCAAACAGG
This 253-nucleotide ribosomal RNA is filed under the name uncultured bacterium. RNAcentral's name for it is "partial 16S ribosomal RNA". It matches the Rfam family "Bacterial small subunit ribosomal RNA", at positions 524 to 776 of the family's 1533-position model. The record is from RNAcentral.